This 274-nucleotide ribosomal RNA is filed under the name uncultured bacterium. RNAcentral's name for it is "partial 16S ribosomal RNA". It matches the Rfam family "Bacterial small subunit ribosomal RNA", at positions 523 to 796 of the family's 1533-position model. The record is from RNAcentral.
CUACGGAGGGUGCAAGCGUCAUUCGGAAUCACUGGGCGUAAAGGACGCGUAGGCGGGUUGGCAAGUCAGAUGUGAAAUCCUACAGCUUAACUGUAGAACUGCAUUUGAAACUGCUAACCUAGAGUAUGGGAGGGGGAGAUGGAAUUAGUGGUGUAGGGGUAAAAUCCGUAGAUAUCACUAGGAAUACCGAAAGCGAAGGCGAUCUCCUGGAACAUAACUGACGCUAAGGCGUGAAAGCGUGGGGAGCAAACAGGAUUAGAAACCCUAGUAGUCC